GCGAGGUGGAGGCAAAUCCCCAAACCACGGUCCCAGUUCAGAUUGCAGGCUGAGACCCGCCUGCAUGAAGACGGAAUUGCUAGUAAUCGCGGAUCAGCAUGCCGCGGUGAAUACGUUCCCGGGCCUUGUACACACCGCCCGUCACACCAUGAGAGUCGGUAACACCCGAAGCCUGUGAGCUAACCGUAAGGAGGCAGCAGUCGAAGGUGGGAUCGAUAAUUGGGGUGAAGUCGUAACAAGGUACC
Molecule: ribosomal RNA, 245 nt
Filed under: uncultured bacterium
Lineage: Bacteria
Description: partial 16S ribosomal RNA
Rfam family: Bacterial small subunit ribosomal RNA
Source: RNAcentral